Molecule: ribosomal RNA, 420 nt
Filed under: Triticum aestivum (bread wheat)
Lineage: Eukaryota; Viridiplantae; Streptophyta; Magnoliopsida; Poales; Poaceae
Description: partial small subunit ribosomal RNA
Source: RNAcentral
CCUCAACCGCGCCAUGUUCCUCGUCUAGGCGUUCCGGACCGGCCCGGGGAGCGUCCUCCGGUAGUUCCGAGCGCGGUAGUCCGAGGAGUUCGUGUUCGCGUACAUGCUCCUCGUCGCGUUGGAGCUGGUCCAGCCGAAGCGGCGGCUGCCGGAGUUCCUGCACGUCGAUUGGCUACCGCGGACUCCUCCCCCACGAGCUGGUACCGACGACGACCCCUACGUAGUCGGUACAUAGAAUGAGAGACCGACAUCCACUGGUUGUGGCUCCCCGACGGAGAGCACAUGUCGGGGCUCUAGUAAAGCCGGAUGACCCCGUUUGCGGGUCCGCGGCAGCGGUGGGCUCGCCACUUCGAGAACAGGCACCGGCCACCAAAGUAGAGGGUGUAGUAUAGUCUGGAGUAGUGGCUGUUUUAGUUCCUC